This is a long non-coding RNA of Orcinus orca (killer whale), 540 nucleotides long. RefSeq lists it as uncharacterized. The transcript is spliced from 3 exons. NCBI's taxonomy places the organism in Eukaryota, Metazoa, Chordata, Mammalia, Artiodactyla, Delphinidae. The record is from RefSeq and is a predicted model, not a curated record.
CCAAGUGGCUUUUCCACUUCCCUUAAACUAUAUAUUUUUAAACCUCAACAAUUCCCUUUGAAAAUAGGAUUCAACAUUGGGCAGGAGACUGUGUAAAAUGGGACAGUUGAAGGAUUUUUCACAAUCUGCAUACUAUCCUCCCUCAAGUUUGAGGAUGUGAUUUCCUUUCACUUUCAUUGCUAGAGUAGAUUCAGACGCAGAAUACCAGUUUUCUGCUUUUCUCCAAAUCGUGGGGAGCACAAAUGACAGGAAGGUGUGGCAGACAGCGUAAUGCUCCCUAAGGAUGCCCAUGCCCUACGCCCUGGAACAUGUGAUUUUUACCUUACAUGGCAAAAGAAGAUUUGCGGAACUGAUUAAACUAAGGACCUUGCGAUUGGGGGAUUAUCUUCAACUAUUCAGUUCUGGAGACUAGAAACCCUAGAACAAGGGUUCACCAGCAGGGUCAUGCUCCCUCUGAAGAUGUUACAGAAGGAUCUGUUCCAGACCUCUCUGCUGGCUUAUGGUAGUUCCUUGGUUUGUGGCAGCAUAACUACAAUCUUC